RNAcentral lists this ribosomal RNA (146 nucleotides) under uncultured eukaryote. RNAcentral describes it as "partial 18S ribosomal RNA". It matches the Rfam family "Eukaryotic small subunit ribosomal RNA", at positions 1299 to 1458 of the family's 1831-position model. The record is from RNAcentral.
UGGUGGAGUGAUUUGUCUGCUUAAUUGCGAUAACGAACGAGACCUUAACCUGCUAAAUAGUUACGCGAACGCUCUUGCGUUCGUGGCCAACUUCUUAGAGGGACUUUUGCGUGUUUUAACCUAAAGGAAGUUUGUAGGCAAUAACA